RNAcentral lists this ribosomal RNA (457 nucleotides) under uncultured Proteiniphilum sp. RNAcentral's name for it is "bacterial SSU rRNA". It matches the Rfam family "Bacterial small subunit ribosomal RNA", at positions 925 to 1382 of the family's 1533-position model. The record is from RNAcentral. Lineage: Bacteria; Pseudomonadati; Bacteroidota; Bacteroidia; Bacteroidales; Dysgonomonadaceae.
ACAAGCGGAGGAACAUGUGGUUUAAUUCGAUGAUACGCGAGGAACCUUACCCGGGCUUGAAAUGCAUCUGACCGGCCUUGAAAGAGGCACUCCCUUCGGGGCAGAUGUGUAGGUGCUGCAUGGUUGUCGUCAGCUCGUGCCGUGAGGUGUCGGCUUAAGUGCCAUAACGAGCGCAACCCUCAUCAUUAGUUACCAUCAGGUAAGGCUGGGGACUCUAAUGAGACUGCCAUCGUAAGAUGUGAGGAAGGUGGGGAUGACGUCAAAUCAGCACGGCCCUUACGUCCGGGGCGACACACGUGUUACAAUGGGUGGUACAAAGGGCAGCUACCUGGCGACAGGAUGCUAAUCUCGAAAACCGCUCUCAGUUCGGAUCGGAGUCUGCAACUCGACUCCGUGAAGCUGGAUUCGCUAGUAAUCGCGCAUCAGCCACGGCGCGGUGAAUACGUUCCCGGGCCUU